CGUGAGGGUGGGGCAGGGGAGAUCUGAGGAGUGUGCUCACUGCCCCUCCCUCAUCCACCGGCACACCAGACCCCUCUGUCCGACUGUGCUCUUCCAUUUCUCAACUGACUGCCCUGUGGGACAUGUAAAUGUGGUGUUUUCCUAAAAGGGUCUUGUCCUGAACAAAAGCUGACAAGAUCUGCUCUACCCUGCAAAUGUCCAAAGUCAGCUGUCACAUUCUGUUCAGGCUGUUGUCAGAUUUAAAUAAUCCCCAAAUCCCACACAUCACCCCCUUUCUAUACCUCUCUUCAAAAGUCUUUAUCAUCCUGACAGCUGUCCUCUGAACUGUCUCCUAAUGUCUCACAACUUUCUAGAGCUAUAAGGCUGUUUAUGUGACAUCCACAGCUAGCACUCUCACUUGGUCUCCUUGUGGAUCAGAGCCUCCUAGCCAGGAAUACAUCUCACACAUUUACAUCUGGCUAACUACUAAUGCGGGACACUUCAUGCAGCUAUUUCAAGAUGGGGGAGGUGGCUUCUGGCUCACUGAGCUCUCAUCGCCCCAUGAAACCCUCCCAGGUGAUGGGCAUCACCACGCAAGUCUAGUCCUGAAUUUCUCACUGCACUUACUCAUAUUGAUGGGGAAAAGUUUUAGAUAAUUUAGUAGAUUGAAUAUUAAGGUGCUCCCAAAUGAGACUAGCAUUUGAAGUGUUGGCUUCAGAUGGCCCUUUCCAACUUCUCAUCCAACCCCUUGGAGACCUGAAGAGAACAAAAGGAUGAGGAAAGGAAAAUUUCACCACCUCUGUUUUAUUUUCCUUGCCUGUAAGAGUUGGAACAUCUGUCUAUUUCUACCCUACAGUGAGAGACUUACACCACAAGCUCCCUGGCUCCUGGGUGUAGAGGGAAGAUCAUGGGACUUCACCUUCAUAAUUAUGUGCACCAG
This 919-nucleotide long non-coding RNA is filed under the name Heterocephalus glaber (naked mole-rat). RNAcentral's name for it is "lncRNA (ENSHGLG00100039259.1)". Lineage: Eukaryota; Metazoa; Chordata; Mammalia; Rodentia; Bathyergidae. The record is from RNAcentral.